RNAcentral lists this ribosomal RNA (655 nucleotides) under Candidatus Poseidoniaceae archaeon. Its description in RNAcentral is "partial 23S ribosomal RNA". It matches the Rfam family "Archaeal large subunit ribosomal RNA", at positions 2326 to 2987 of the family's 2987-position model. The record is from RNAcentral. Lineage: Archaea; Methanobacteriati; Thermoplasmatota; Candidatus Poseidoniia; Candidatus Poseidoniales; Candidatus Poseidoniaceae.
GGUGGGCAGUUUGGGUGGGGCGCCACGCGCUCGAAAACCUAACAAGCGUGCCCAAAGGUCAGCUUAGGUGGUUCAGCACUCCACCGUUAACUGUAAGGGGAAAAGCUGGCUUGACGUGGAUCGGCACAAUAACGAUCGACGAUGCGAAAGCAGGGCCUAACGAACCUACCAGCCUCAUUUAUGGGGGCGGUAGAUAACAGAAAAGUUACCUCGGGGAUAAUUGAGUUGUCACCAGCAAGAGCUCACAUCGACCUGGUGGCUUGCUACUUCGAUGUCGUCUCUUCCUAUCCUGGGUCUGCAGCAGGACCCAAGGGUGGGGUUGUUCGCCCAUUAAAAGGGAUCGUGAGAUGGGUUUAGACCGUCGUGAGACAGGUUUGUUGCUUGGUGGUGGAAGCGUUGUUGCUUGAUGGAAGGGGUCCUUCAGUACGAGAGGAACGAGGGCUCGGGGCCACUAGUUUACCAGUUGUCUGACAAGGCAAUGCUGGGUAGCCACGCCCUGAUGGAUAAGAGCUGAAAGCAUCUAAGCUCGAAGCCACCCCAAAGACGAAACACCUCAGAACGCUCGUAAAAGACGAGAUGAUAGACUGCGGAUGUAAGCAUGAAGCUUCGGCGACGUGUUCAGUCCAGCAGCACUAAUGUUCGAGCAUCUUUUUUU